RNAcentral lists this ribosomal RNA (253 nucleotides) under uncultured bacterium. RNAcentral's name for it is "partial 16S ribosomal RNA". It matches the Rfam family "Bacterial small subunit ribosomal RNA", at positions 524 to 776 of the family's 1533-position model. The record is from RNAcentral.
UACGGGGGGGGCAAGCGUUGUUCGGAAUUACUGGGCGUAAAGGGCUCGUAGGCGGCCAACUAAGUCAGACGUGAAAUCCCCAGGCUUAACCUGGGAACUGCAUUUGUGACUGCAAGGCUAGAGUGUGUCAGAGGGAGGUGGAAUUCCGCGUGUAGCAGUGAAAUGCGUAGAGAUGCGGAGGAACACCGAUGGCGAAGGCAGCCUCCUGGGAUAACACUGACGCUCAUGCACGAAAGCGUGGGGAGCAAACAGG